UACGGAGGGUGCAAGCGUUAUCCGGAUUUAUUGGGUUUAAAGGGUGCGCAGGCGGAAAAUUAAGUCAGUAGUGAAAUCCUGCAGCUCAACUGUAGAACUGUUAUUGAUACUGAUUUUCUUGAAUUUAGUUGAGGUAGGCGGAAUGUGUAAUGUAGCGGUGAAAUGCUUAGAUAUUACACAGAACACCGAUUGCGAAGGCAGCUUACUAAGCUAAUAUUGACGCUGAGGCACGAAAGCGUGGGUAGCGAACAGG
This 253-nucleotide ribosomal RNA is filed under the name uncultured bacterium. RNAcentral describes it as "partial 16S ribosomal RNA". It matches the Rfam family "Bacterial small subunit ribosomal RNA", at positions 524 to 776 of the family's 1533-position model. The record is from RNAcentral.